AUUCCAGCUCCAAUAGCGUAUAUUAAAGUUGUUGCAGUUAAAAAGCUCGUAGUUGGAUUUCUGGUGGGGCUGUCGGCCUGGCUCCGAAAGGGGUCGUGGUUAGUACACGCCUGGCCAUCCUCGGGGGAAGCUUUGCUGGCAUUAAGUUGUCGGCGGAGUGACGCUCGUCGUUUACUGUGAACAAAUUAGAGUGUUCAAAGCAGGCUUAGGCCGUUGAAUACAUUAGCAUGGAAUAAUGAGAUAGGACUUUGGUGGUCUAUUUUGUUGGUUUGCACGCCGAAGUAAUGAUUAAUAGGGGCGGUUGGGGGUAUUCGUAUUCAAUUGUCAGAGGUGAAAUUCUUGGAUUUAUGGAAGACGAACUACUGCGAAAGCAUUUACCAAGGAUGUUUUCAUCA
This is a ribosomal RNA of 395 nucleotides. It matches the Rfam family "Eukaryotic small subunit ribosomal RNA", at positions 582 to 975 of the family's 1831-position model.